AUCGGCCCUGACGCUUGGAAUAUU
RNAcentral lists this microRNA (24 nucleotides) under Branchiostoma belcheri (Belcher's lancelet). RNAcentral describes it as "bbe-miR-4889b-3p". The record is from miRBase by way of RNAcentral. Lineage: Eukaryota; Metazoa; Chordata; Leptocardii; Amphioxiformes; Branchiostomatidae.